This 1814-nucleotide long non-coding RNA is filed under the name Homo sapiens (human). RNAcentral describes it as "HSALNT0306867". The record is from RNAcentral. Lineage: Eukaryota; Metazoa; Chordata; Mammalia; Primates; Hominidae.
AGCCGUGGGGGAGGGGAAAGGGCGCGCGGCCUCGGAUGCGCAGACCCUGGGCCGGCGACUCGGGGACCCUGCUCCCUCUUAGCUAAAAAUGACGUCGGCGUUCAGCUCCUCCAACCUCACGUGGACAGGCGAGGGAACCGAGACCCAGAGAGGGCAGGGGACUUUGGCAAACUCACACAGCCCACCGCAGGCAACUGGAACUGAAACCCAGGACUCCGUCUCUUGCCAGUGAAAGUUAUGUUAGGAAGCAGUGAGGGGUCUAAAGCAGUAUGAAAGGCAAAGAGAAAAGGUGAUUGUUCCCUCUUGAAUGGCCCUUGGAAGCUGAGUAUCUGGAUUCACCCUCCCUAGGGAAUUUCCCGAUUGUCUUGCAGGCUUACACACUCAUCAAGAUGACAAAAAUAAUGACAGUAACACUUAUGUGGAACUUGACUUUUUCCCAGGUGCUGCUCUAAGCAUUUACUGUGUUUGUUUUACAGGAAGGAAGACUGUACACAGAGAAUAAAUAACUUGGCCAAGCCAUUCAGCUAGGAAGUUGUAGAUCCUAAAUUAAGAGUUCAAGGUCUUAAUGGCUACUCUAUGCGGCCUCUCAUAGUCUUUUCAAGGGUUUUGGAGAAGAAUAAAAGAUCAGGUAUGGCUUCUCCCUCCCCCAGCUCUCUAUUGUUCCCUAAAGGAUUAUUCAUUCGUUCAUUCAUUCCUACAUCCUCCCAUUUAUUCCAGUCAUCCACAGAUGUUUGAGUGGUUACAAUGUGCCAGCCUCCCUUCUAGGUACUGGAGAUAAAGUGGGACAAGAGAGGUGAGGUCUGGACCCUUGGCACUUUCACGAUAAAAUACACAGGCAUUGCUUUUGAACUCAGUCAUCUUUUCCCCCUUGCCCACUAGUUGCUUGUGAUACAUCAGUAUCCUCACUCACCCCCAACUCCAGAGGCUGAAACUAACUCUCCUCCUCCCUCUUCCAACUGCUGAGGAAGAUGAGUCAAUGGUGUUACUGGACCCUGUGAACUGAUGCUGUGAAGAGAGGCCAUUUAACACGGACUACGGGGAAUGGUGCCACAGGGGGCUCAGUGCUGCCCUUCACUCUCAGCAUUUUGCUCACUCAGCAUUGAUGACAGGAUGUCCCAAAAGUAACAAAAGAUGGGAGCCAGUCCUCUCAUAGCUGUUUCUUCAAUCAUCCCAUCAACAGCUCUUCAUUUAUUGAACUACCUUCCUUUUCCAAAGAGGUAAUGCUGAGAUCAGUCAGAAAGGCUUUCUGAGAAAACUGGCUUGGAUUUCUGGGUCUGUUGCAGUCAAUUCAAGAUGAACUGGCUUGUAUCAAUGAAGCGCUCAAUGCAGUUCACAAAACAGGCCUCAGCCCGACUGUCCAACUUUGGCCCAGGCUUGUCCAUGCACUUCUCCCAACAAAGUUCAGUCAUCUGGUGCACCAGCUGCUGGAAGCGCUGCUUUUGAGUCUCUACCUCAAUGAAAAUGCUGCAACUGCGGGUCCACUGCACCCAAACCCGCCGCAGAGGAAGAGCAGGAGGAAUCCAUCCCAGGACAACCAUGCUUGCAGAGACGAACUCCGCACCAACCUUCACGUGUCUCCACGACCUAGUUAAUCAAUUUAAAAUGAGGUCACUAGGGUGGGCCCCAAUCCAAUAUGACUGAUAACUUUAUAAAAAGGAGAGAUUUGGAUACAGAAAGAGACAGAGUGAAAACCAUGUGAAGAAACAUAGGAAAAGAUGGCAGCUACAAGCCAAGGAGAAGCUUGCAGUGUGUAUUCAUCUGUUCUCAUGCUGUUAAUAAAGACAUACCUGAGACUGGGUAAUUUAUAAAGGAAA